GACGAACGUUGGCGGCGUGCUUAAUACAUGCAAGUCCACUGAAGCAGUGGUAGCAAUAUCGCUGUGGAGGUGGCGCACGGGUGAGUAACACGUAGGUAAUCUGCCUUCAGGUCUGGCAUAACUCCGGGAAACCGGGGCUAAUAGCAGAUGAUGCAGCGGCUCGACAUCGAGACAGUUGUUAAAGCUAUGGCGCCUGAAGAUGAGCCUGCGUCUGAUUAGCUAGUUGGCGGGGUAACGGCCCACCAAGGCAACGAUCAGUAGCUGGUCUGAGAGGAUGAUCAGCCACACUGGAACUGAGACACGGUCCAGACUCCUACGGGAGGCAGCAGUAAGGAAUAUUGCUCAAUGGGAGAAAUCCUGAAGCAGCAACGCUGCGUGAGGGACGAAGGGCUUUUGCUUGUAAACCUCUGUAGUGAGAGAAAAAAAUCCCAAUCUUUGGGACAUGAUGGUAUCUCAAAAGUAAGCCCCGGCUAACUACGUG
RNAcentral lists this ribosomal RNA (481 nucleotides) under uncultured bacterium. RNAcentral describes it as "partial 16S ribosomal RNA". It matches the Rfam family "Bacterial small subunit ribosomal RNA", at positions 28 to 507 of the family's 1533-position model. The record is from RNAcentral.